This 253-nucleotide ribosomal RNA is filed under the name uncultured bacterium. RNAcentral describes it as "partial 16S ribosomal RNA". It matches the Rfam family "Bacterial small subunit ribosomal RNA", at positions 524 to 776 of the family's 1533-position model. The record is from RNAcentral.
UACGGGGGGGGCAAGCGUUGUUCGGAAUUACUGGGCGUAAAGGGCUCGUAGGCGGCCAACUAAGUCAUACGUGAAAUCCCUCGGCUUAACCGGGGAACUGCGUCUGAUACUGUUUGGCUUGAGUUUGGGAGAGGGAUGCGGAAUUCCAGGUGUAGCGGUGAAAUGCGUAGAUAUCUGGAGGAACACCGGUGGCGAAGGCGGCUUUCUGGGCUGUUCUUGACGCUGAGGCGCGAAAGCUAGGGGAGCAAACGGG